Molecule: ribosomal RNA, 253 nt
Filed under: uncultured bacterium
Lineage: Bacteria
Description: partial 16S ribosomal RNA
Rfam family: Bacterial small subunit ribosomal RNA
Source: RNAcentral
UACGUAGGGACCGAGCGUUAUCCGGAAUUAUUGGGCGUAAAGCGCGUGUAGGCGGUCCGUUAGGUCGGCUGUGAAAUCUCAGGGCUUAACCCUGAAGCUGCAGUCGAUACUGGCGGACUUGAGGUAGGUAGAGGAGAGUGGAAUUCCCGGUGUAGCGGUGGAAUGCGCAGAUAUCGGGAGGAACACCAAUGGCGAAGGCAGCUCUCUGGGCCUUACCUGACGCUGAGACGCGAGAGCGUGGGUAGCAAACAGG